Molecule: long non-coding RNA, 232 nt
Filed under: Lathyrus oleraceus (garden pea)
Lineage: Eukaryota; Viridiplantae; Streptophyta; Magnoliopsida; Fabales; Fabaceae
Description: Pisum sativum (pea) long non-coding RNA (PSAT_LNC006344)
Source: RNAcentral
UCACUUUGAAAUUGUUACCACGAACUACGAGGUGUUGAUCUCUCAUUUUAUGUUGGUACGUAGGCACAAGUACGAAGAUCUUGUAAAACACAAAAAUAUAAUUAAUGAAUUCUUUUCUCAUACAUCCAUUCUAUUUUAUUGCAAACAUCAAAUACAAAAACACAUAUGCACACAAAAAAGGGCUCCCUAGGAGUACCUAGGACACUUUGGAUGCUAACAUAUUCCCUCUAUG